RNAcentral lists this long non-coding RNA (400 nucleotides) under Olea europaea (common olive). Its description in RNAcentral is "long non-coding RNA (OEUR_LNC013062)". Lineage: Eukaryota; Viridiplantae; Streptophyta; Magnoliopsida; Lamiales; Oleaceae. The record is from RNAcentral.
UCAUUUUGCUAUAUUUUUCCAAAUAUAUUCAUCAUCCUGGCUCAUCAGUUGCAUUUUAUUGACCCAAAUCUUUCUUGAGUGCAGAAACCUUCCUUUACUUUUCAACAACUGCCGUCGGAUUCUAGAAGUGGGAUAAAAGAUUUAGAGUCUGUUUGGGAAUGAUUUUGAUAAUUGAUUUUUUGACUAUUAAGAAUAAAGUGGGAUCCACCUAUGAGAGAAAAAGUCAAAUAUGAAGGUUGGAAUAGUGAAAUAACAAUAAAAAAAUCAAUUUUUUUGGGGGAAAAAAUCACUCCCAAACAAAUUGUUAACGAACUAGGAAAUUCAUCAUAUCUAGUGGUGGACCCACUUUUUGAGCCAAUUUAGAAUAAAGAAAAACUACAUUACUAGAGCAUGUUUUGGC